GCUCAAAUUUGAAAUCUGACGUCUUUGACGUUCGAAUUGUAAUUUGGAGGGGCAUUUUCGGAGCUGGCGUCGUCCUAAGUUCCUUGGAACAGGACGUCACAGAGGGUGAGAAUCCCGUGCCUGGAUGACUGUCCAGCUCCAUGUGAGGUGUCUCCGACGAGUCGAGUUGUUUGGGAAUGCAGCUCAAAAUGGGUGGUAAAUUUCAUCUAAAGCUAAAUACUGGCGAGAGACCGAUAGCGCACAAGUAGAGUGAUCGAAAGAUGAAAAGCACUUUGAAAAGAGAGUUAAAAAGUACGUGAAAUUGUUGAAAGGGAAGCGCUUGAGACCAGAUUCAACCUUCGGUGAUCAGCUGUGCUUCUGUACGGUGCACUUGCCGGGGGUUGGGCCAGCAUCGGUUUUGACGGUGGGAUAAAGGUUCGAGGAAUGUGGCUCCCCGAUUCCGGGGAGUGUUAUAGCCCUGAGCGCAAUGCCACCAGUCGGGACCGAGGACCGCGCUUCCGCUAGGAUGCUGGCGAAAUGGUUUUAAGCGGCCCGUCUUGAAACACGGACCAAGGAGUCUAACAUCUAUGCGAGUGUUCGGGUGGAAAACCCUUGCGCGUAAUGAAAGUGAACGGAGGUGGGAACCCUUCGGGGUGCACCAUCG
RNAcentral lists this ribosomal RNA (643 nucleotides) under Otidea adorniae. Its description in RNAcentral is "partial large subunit ribosomal RNA". It matches the Rfam family "Eukaryotic large subunit ribosomal RNA", at positions 107 to 763 of the family's 3401-position model. The record is from RNAcentral. Lineage: Eukaryota; Fungi; Ascomycota; Pezizomycetes; Pezizales; Pyronemataceae.